GGGGAUGUAGCUCAGUGGUAGAGUGUUCGCUUUGCACUUAGCAAGAUUGCGAAAUGCCCGGGGAUCGAAACCCCGCUUCUCCA
This 83-nucleotide transfer RNA is filed under the name Coemansia sp. RSA 2531. Its description in RNAcentral is "tRNA-Ala". It matches the Rfam family "tRNA". From Rfam's summary of the family: Transfer RNA (tRNA) molecules are approximately 80 nucleotides in length. Their secondary structure includes four short double-helical elements and three loops (D, anti-codon, and T loops). RNAcentral also lists the same sequence under 11 other names. The record is from RNAcentral. Lineage: Eukaryota; Fungi; Kickxellomycota; Kickxellomycetes; Kickxellales; Kickxellaceae.